ACGCUACGGACUUAAAAUCCGUCGACUUUUAAAAUCGUGAGGGUUCAAGUCC
Molecule: transfer RNA, 52 nt
Filed under: Cayaponia jenmanii
Lineage: Eukaryota; Viridiplantae; Streptophyta; Magnoliopsida; Cucurbitales; Cucurbitaceae
Description: partial tRNA-Leu
Source: RNAcentral